Long non-coding RNA from Pyrus x bretschneideri (Chinese white pear), 2890 nucleotides. RefSeq lists it as uncharacterized. The record is from RefSeq and is a predicted model, not a curated record. NCBI's taxonomy places the organism in Eukaryota, Viridiplantae, Streptophyta, Magnoliopsida, Rosales, Rosaceae. The transcript has 4 exons.
UUGACUUGAGGAGAGAGAGCGGAUGGAGACAGAACGGCUGACAAAUUGGAGAGAGAAGACGAUGCCUCUGAUUUUUCACUGGGACACAGCUGGGUGUGGCUGUGCCGAAAGGGGAGGAAGGGGACAGAGCGAGUGGAGAGGAUGGAAACAGAGAGGCUGACAGAUUGGAGAGAGAUGGGAGCUACGGGUUUAGUGCCAGGAUCUAUGGGAUUUUCUGCGAUUUUAGAGAGAGGAAUUAUCAGAGAGAGAUACAGAACGGAAAGCAUGCGUGUAUGCAUUGUUUAGGGUUAAGAGGUCACGCACAGAGUCGGUGAGGAGGGGACGGGUGAGGGGGGAAUGGCAGGGUGUGGGUUUUCAGCUUUCUCCCUUGAUUCAAAAGAUCAAACCAUCCAUUCACACAGCAGCCACAAGACAGACCGUUAGUGAGCUCAAGUAUACGCACUUUUUUCAGAAACAGAGUCUCAUCCACCGGAAUCUGGAUUUCCUAGCAGCAUUUAUCAGUUUUUUGCUAUAGUGCGGAAGAUGUCCACUCUAAAAAAAAGUGAACAAUGCAAUCUCUGUAAGCCGUUCUACAUCUUUUCAGCUAGCAACAUUUUUGCUUCAACACCUGCAUGUUCUUUGCUUUGCACGUUUGUGCUUGGAAACUUAGAUGCUAGAAUGAGAACAAAACAGUCUAUAUCUUUUUUUGUCAACUACUCAAACAUGUACCUAACCUAGAAGAUAUACAUUUUUUCACCUUCGCUACAAGGGCAACAUGUCUGUAAACUAUGUGUUACUUUUGUUUAUUCUAUAUAUUAGCUAACCAAAACGUUUCGUUUCGUCCUUUUAAUUGUACAAUGCAGUUCAAGGUGAUGCAUUCAAGCCCCGCAGCAUCGCGCGGGCAUUUUUUCUAGUUGGAAACUAAAACAAGCAUAACAAAAUGUAGCAAUAUAUACUUGUUUCUUACAAUGGAGAAAAACCGGUAACGAGAUAAUUAAGAACAGAUGACACGAAACAGUACAGAUUUCCCAAGUUUAAAUUUUCACUUCUACAAAUAUUUUCUUAACCCAUUUAGAAAAAGAAAAAAAAAACGCAUUAACCGUUGGUUGUAAAUGGGAAAGUGGACAUAAUUAUAGCCUGUUUGAGUUGGAGCAUGCAAAGCUCCAUGGGAAAUUCUUCUGAAAUUAAGUUAUUAUUCAACAUAAAAAGGAAAAGAUUUGGAAAACAGCAUUGUUGGCGCUACCAUCUCAUAUGAUCACUUUAUCAUGGUUAUAAUCACCAUGUCAAAUGAUUAAAAUUUGAAAAACAUCAAUGCUUAUUCAUAAUUAGUCAUUAAAAUAUAUGUGUCAAUCCACAAAUUCUAUCAAAAUUUCUAGAAAAGUCUCACAAACUCCGUUGUAAUUCAAAUAGAAUUUCAGUUCCACAUGGAUCAAGAUCAAAGUUCAAUCAAUCAGAAUUCCUGACAAAUCCAAGCUUCGUACGCUUUACGGAACAUCUAAUCCACUUAAAUAGUGGAAUAUUGGGAGACUCCUUUGGGGUUUAAAAAGGCACACAAAGGAAUAUAAAACGUAACUUCAUGUUUUCAUAUUCCCUCAUUGUAAAAUUACUAGUAAUACAUCACCACACAGACAUCAGGAAAGAGAUGCAAGAUAUAAUGUUACAGACUAACAUGACUGCUGAGAUGGCGCGACACACCAGUGAUGUUCAAUUGACAUGUUCUUUUCCCACUGUUGACCCUAUUGGUGUGUUACGUACUGCAGUUCAGUUCGAUUCAACUUAACAUACUUAUUUUACAAACGAGAUAACCACAAAUCCUAAUUCAAUUGCAACAAUCAUAUUUCACAACAGUUCACAUGUGUCUAAUUGAGUGUUAAAUAUCACAAAAUUGUCAAAUAAGUAACCUUGCACGACCGUAUAUACCUCCUUGUUGUGAAGCUCUUUCCUUUCACUUCUCUCUACCACUAUCAUCACCACAACCCCACCCCCAAUCCUCCACCACCCCAUCACCAUGUCGCCACCACAAUCACCAUCCCUACUACUAUUGCAGCCACUUAAGACAAUACAUAGAAUAUCACUAUCUUGCCAACAAUUACCACGUGACACUUGUACCAGCAUUGUUGUCGCCACCACCUCAUACGACCACUUUAUCAUGGUAAUAAUCACCAUGUCAAAUGAUUAAAAUUUGAAAAAUAGCAAUGCUUAUUCAUAAUUAGUCAUUAAUAUAUAUAUACACACACAUGCUUAUAUAUGCUUAAUAUGUGGAUGCAUAUUAAUAUGUUAAGUCUCUGACGAGAUUAGUGACGAUAUUGAUAAUAUCUUUAUAUCAUUCAUGAUCUAUUUUUACCACAUGGUCAUCAGGUGAUGAGUCGUAUAGUUAUCUUCGGCCGUAGAUUUGUUUGCAGGUUAAAUUUGUCCUAGUGGACGCUAGGGUUGAUGAUUAUUAGCGUUAUUGAGAUUAACUAGUUGAUGCUAGUAUAUUUCCUACUUGCUAUACUUAUGUUAGUAGAUGCUAGCAUGACUGAUUGACUGAAUGUAUGAUUUAUGGAUUUGACUUGAUGGUUUUUCGUUGAUAUUGAUGAAUGAGACUUUACUAUUAUGGUAGUAUUAUAUUAUAUAGUUUUUCACUAUAUAUGUUUUCCAAACAGGGGUUAUUAUGUUUAAAUGAAGAUUUUAUAAUUAUGAUAAAACUGGUCCACACACGUUUUGUUUUAUCGACCCCUUCAGGGUGUAACGAGACUAAGGAGAACAUCAGUGGGCUUGGCAGUGAGGCUUUCAUCCCUUGGGUUGAUGGCUCCUUGACUACAGUUUUUUCUAUGUUGUAAUAAUUAUUGCAUGAUCGCACUUUUGAUUAUGCAUAGCACUGCACUUUGUUAUAUUACUAUUUACUGCUGUAUGAAACUUCUAGUUGUUA